Molecule: ribosomal RNA, 1343 nt
Filed under: uncultured bacterium
Lineage: Bacteria
Description: 16S ribosomal RNA
Rfam family: Bacterial small subunit ribosomal RNA
Source: RNAcentral
GACGAACGCUGGCGGCGUGCUUGACACAUGCAAGUCGAACGGAAAGGCCCUGCUUUUGUGGGGUGCUCGAGUGGCGAACGGGUGAGUAACACGUGAGUAACCUGCCCUUGACUUUGGGAUAACUUCAGGAAACUGGGGCUAAUACCGGAUAGGAGCUCCUGCUGCAUGGUGGGGGUUGGAAAGUUUCGGCGGUUGGGGAUGGACUCGCGGCUUAUCAGCUUGUUGGUGGGGUAGUGGCUUACCAAGGCUUUGACGGGUAGCCGGCCUGAGAGGGUGACCGGCCACAUUGGGACUGAGAUACGGCCCAGACUCCUACGGGAGGCAGCAGUGGGGAAUAUUGCACAAUGGGCGGAAGCCUGAUGCAGCAACGCCGCGUGCGGGAUGACGGCCUUCGGGUUGUAAACCGCUUUCGCCUGUGACGAAGCGUGAGUGACGGUAAUGGGUAAAGAAGCACCGGCUAACUACGUGCCAGCAGCCGCGGUGAUACGUAGGGUGCGAGCGUUGUCCGGAUUUAUUGGGCGUAAAGGGCUCGUAGGUGGUUGAUCGCGUCGGAAGUGUAAUCUUGGGGCUUAACCCUGAGCGUGCUUUCGAUACGGGUUGACUUGAGGAAGGUAGGGGAGAAUGGAAUUCCUGGUGGAGCGGUGGAAUGCGCAGAUAUCAGGAGGAACACCAGUGGCGAAGGCGGUUCUCUGGGCCUUUCCUGACGCUGAGGAGCGAAAGCGUGGGGAGCGAACAGGCUUAGAUACCCUGGUAGUCCACGCUGUAAACGGUGGGUACUAGGUGUGGGGUCCAUUCCACGGGUUCCGUGCCGUAGCUAACGCUUUAAGUACCCCGCCUGGGGAGUACGGCCGCAAGGCUAAAACUCAAAGGAAUUGACGGGGCCCCGCACAAGCGGCGGAGCAUGCGGAUUAAUUCGAUGCAACGCGUAGAACCUUACCUGGGUUUGACAUGGAUCGGGAGUGCUCAGAGAUGGGUGUGCCUCUUUUGGGGUCGGUUCACAGGUGGUGCAUGGCUGUCGUCAGCUCGUGUCGUGAGAUGUUGGGUUAAGUCCCGCAACGAGCGCAACCCUUGUUCACUGUUGCCAGCACGUUAUGGUGGGGACUCAGUGGAGACCGCCGGGGUCAACUCGGAGGAAGGUGGGGAUGACGUCAAGUCAUCAUGCCCCUUAUGUCCAGGGCUUCACGCAUGCUACAAUGGCUGGUACAGAGAGUGGCGAGCCUGUGAGGGUGAGCGAAUCUCGGAAAGCCGGUCUCAGUUCGGAUUGGGGUCUGCAACUCGACCUCAUGGAGUCGGAGUCGCUAGUAAUCGCAGAUCAGCAACGCUGCGGUGAAUACGUUCCCGGG